GACGAACGCUGGCGGCGUGCUUAACACAUGCAAGUUGAACGGUAAGGCUCCAGCUUGCUGGGGUACACGAGUGGCGAACGGGUGAGUAACACGUGGGUGACCUGCCCUGCACUUCGGGAUAAGCCUGGGAAACUGGGUCUAAUACCGGAUAGGACCGCACCGUGAGGGUGUGGUGGAAAGUUUUUUCGGUGUGGGAUGGGCCCGCGGCCUAUCAGCUUGUUGGUGGGGUAAUGGCCUACCAAGGCGGCGACGGGUAGCCGGCCUGAGAGGGUGGACGGCCACAUUGGGACUGAGACACGGCCCAGACUCCUACGGGAGGCAGCAGUGGGGAAUAUUGCACAAUGGGCGGAAGCCUGAUGCAGCGACGCCGCGUGGGGGAUGACGGCCUUCGGGUUGUAAACUCCUUUCACCAUCGACGAAGGGUUUCUGACGGUAGAUGGAGAAGAAGCACCGGCUAACUACGUG
Molecule: ribosomal RNA, 465 nt
Filed under: uncultured bacterium
Lineage: Bacteria
Description: partial 16S ribosomal RNA
Rfam family: Bacterial small subunit ribosomal RNA
Source: RNAcentral